This 529-nucleotide ribosomal RNA is filed under the name Hypoxylon crocopeplum. RNAcentral's name for it is "eukaryotic LSU rRNA". The stretch from base 150 to 303 matches the Rfam family "5.8S ribosomal RNA". The record is from RNAcentral. Lineage: Eukaryota; Fungi; Ascomycota; Sordariomycetes; Xylariales; Hypoxylaceae.
GGGGGUUCGAGUUACAACUCCAACCCUUUGUGAUCUUACCACUGUUUCCUCGGCGUGGUCGCCGGCCUUAGCGGUCGACGCCCGCCGAAGGGCCACUAAACUCUUUGUUUCUUGAGUUAUAUCUGAAUGCUUCAAAACAAAUAAGUUAAAACUUUCAACAACGGAUCUCUUGGUUCUGGCAUCGAUGAAGAACGCAGCGAAAUGCGAUAAGUAAUGUGAAUUGCAGAAUUCAGUGAAUCAUCGAAUCUUUGAACGCACAUUGCGCCCAUUAGUAUUCUAGUGGGCAUGCCUAUUCGAGCGUCAUUUCAACCCUUAAGCCCUGUAGCUUAGCGUUGGGAGCCUGCCCUUUCGGGGCGCAGCUCCCUAAGAUUAGUGGCGGAGUUAGGGCACACUCUGAGCGUAGUAAUAUUAUUCUCGCUUCUGUGGUGGCUCUGGCGACCUGCCGUAAAACCCCCUAUAACUCUAGUGGUUGACCUCGGAUUAGGUAGGAAUACCCGCUGAACUUAAGCAUAUCAAUAAGCGGAGGAAA